GGGAACUACGAGCCUAAGCUUAAAACCCAAAGGACUUGGCGGUGCUUUAGACCCCCCUAGAGGAGCCUGUUCUAGAACCGAUAACCCCCGUUCAACCUCACCUUUUCUUGCCUAUACCGCCUAUAUACCGCCGUCGUCAGCAUACCCUGUGAAGGAAUCAUAGUAAGCAAAACUGGUAAGACCCAAAACGUCAGGUCGAGGUGUAGCACACGAAAAGGAAAGAAAUGGGCCACAUUUCCUCUCCUAGGAAACACGGAUUAUGCCAUGAAACAGCACAUGAAGGAGGAUUUAGUAGUAAGCAGAAAGCAGAGCGUUCUGCUGAACCCGGCCCUGAAGCGCGCACACACCGCCCGUCACUCUCCCCAGGCCCAAAACACUUAUAUUUUAAAAACCUAUUAGGGCAAAGGGGAGGCAAGUCGUAACAUGGUAAGUGUACCGGAAAGUGCACUUGGAAAAAC
RNAcentral lists this ribosomal RNA (458 nucleotides) under Brachyrhaphis terrabensis. RNAcentral's name for it is "partial 12S ribosomal RNA". It matches the Rfam family "Bacterial small subunit ribosomal RNA", at positions 875 to 1527 of the family's 1533-position model. The record is from RNAcentral. Lineage: Eukaryota; Metazoa; Chordata; Actinopteri; Cyprinodontiformes; Poeciliidae.